Molecule: non-coding RNA, 69 nt
Organism: Mycolicibacterium smegmatis MC2 155
Lineage: Bacteria; Bacillati; Actinomycetota; Actinomycetes; Mycobacteriales; Mycobacteriaceae
Source: Rfam
GGCGGUCUUCGGUAGUGGCUGCCGGGAAUCCAAACAGGUUUAUCCCGACAGCUUCGAUCGACGGCCGUA